RNA transcript from Silurus meridionalis, 3856 nucleotides. It is a transcript of the gene named zinc finger DHHC-type palmitoyltransferase 2, with no coding region annotated. The record is from RefSeq and is a predicted model, not a curated record. The transcript has 14 exons. Lineage: Eukaryota; Metazoa; Chordata; Actinopteri; Siluriformes; Siluridae.
AGUUACUGCUCGGCGUAAACGCGCGAGCGAGCGAGCGCGCACACACACACACACACACACACACACAAAUAUAUAUACACAGGACGAAAUGAUCGUGCGCGGGGCGGAAGGAAGCGGGCGCUUGUCCGCUAUUUACGAGCCUCCGCGGUCUUGACGGAUCGAAAGAGCUCGGCGUCUGGGUUUCUGGCAUGCUCGGGUCAGCGAGCGGAGCUGAAACAUGGCGCCGUCGGGCUCGCGCAGCGCCAAGCGGAAGUGCCAGCGAGUAGUGCACUGGAUCCCCGUGCUGUUCGUGUGCGCGCUCGUGGCGUGGUCCUACUACGCGUAUGUGCUACAGCUCUGCGUAGAAACAAUUGAAAACAUGGGGGAGAAAGUAGUUUACCUUGUGGCGUAUCAUGUCUCCUUCAUCAUGUUUGUAUGGUCAUACUGGCAAACCAUCUUUACUAAACCAAUGAACCCACUUAAAGAGUUCCACUUGUCACCCACUGACAAAGAACUGCUGAAGCAGGAGGAUCGCGCUGAAUCUCAACAAGAGAUUCUGAAAAGAAUAGCCAAGGAUUUACCCAUAUCCACUCGCACAACGUCUGGAGGUAUUCGCUACUGUGACCGGUGCCAUCUAGUAAAACCUGACAGAUGUCACCACUGUUCAGUCUGUGAUAAGUGCAUCUUGAAGAUGGAUCACCACUGUCCAUGGGUGAAUAACUGCGUGGGCUUUUCCAACUACAAGUUUUUUACACUUUUUCUCGCAUACUCUCUGCUGUACUGCCUGUUUAUCACUGCAACAGACCUGCAGUACUUUAUCCAGUUUUGGACUGUGGACGGUAAAACACACGAGCGACUUAAAGCAUACUGGAAUGGCCUUCCAGACACACAAGCCAAAUUCCAUAUUAUGUUCCUGUUCUUUGCCGCCUCCAUGUUCUCAGUCAGUUUGGCUUCACUGUUUGCUUAUCACUGCUGGCUAAUUUGCAAAAAUAGAUCCACCCUCGAGGUCUUUCGUGCACCUGCCUUCCUUCAUGGAGCUGACAAAAAUGGCUUCAGUCUUGGAAUAAGCAAGAAUGUCCGCCAAGUCUUUGGGGAUGAAAAGAAAUAUUGGCUUCUGCCUGUUUUUUCCAGCCAAGGUGAUGGAUGUGCAUUUCCCACAUGCCUUGUGAACCCUGACCCAGAGCAGCCUGCCUCACCAUCUGGACAUGCUGUCAAAAGUGAUGGAGAAUCUCAUCAGUUUCCUGCUCAACCUCUGCGAGAAUCUAAAAGCCGACUGCUGAGCAAUGGACAGACCUGUCCUGAGAGUGAUGAAACAGAACAACAAGACAGAGAAGUGUUUUUCAUGUCAAUUUGAACAGGAACAAGCAACCCUGCCAUGAGUAUAGAGAAAGAAACAUAAUUUUGUCACAGUGCUGACUCGUUUAAGGAAACAAGAUCCCUGUGUGGUCCUGUGCGUUUUCUGUGGAAGAAUGAAGAAACAUCCUUGUGGUGCAGGGAGGCUUCGGUUGCAGGAAACGGCCACUAUCCAGCGGAUUUCUAUGUAAUUGCUUAAGCAGUUACUGUUCAGUGUUACUAGAGAAUCUACAUUCAUUAGGACUGUUAAGGACUGUGUAGACUUUGUGUAUACGGUGCCUAAAAAUGCACAGACAAAGGUGGAUGACAUCAAAUAAUCAAGUGAUUAUUUACAGCUAAUGCCUUGUUUAUACCUUAUGAACCCGUUUGAGGCAAACUUUUAAUAUGAAUUUGGGAGGCAAAUUUGUGUGGUUUUGUGCAUGUUGUGUGAUACAUAUGAAUGUUAUGUUACAAAUCUGAAAGUUAUGAAAGAAAACUGAAAGAAAAAAAAACACUAUGUAGCAAAGUUUCAUCAAAUGGCACUCUGUUUUUAUGCUUUAAUUUUUUGCAUGUUUAAGCAGAUUCUUUUUGUUAUGAUGUACACAUUAUAAUGAUAACUUGUUUCAUUAGCCCGGUGCUGUAUGUCACUCAGUAUAUACGAUUUUCUGUCCUAAUUCUUUGUAGAGAAAAUUUUGCCGGGUUGAAAUAUGGAUAUAAGCAUUAAAAUGUAUUGUGAUAAGUCACAUAUUGUAAGAUGAACACACUCUAUAUGUUUGCAAGGCCAGAAGGACAGUUUUAAAAUCCAAACUACUGAAGGAAAUGAAGUAGCCACGAGAAACAAUGAAAUGCUUUUGCCCUCAUAAGCACAGAAUGAGAAAGAUUUUAGUUCUUUUGCACUUCACAUCUGUUAAUAUGUGAAUAUGUUUAAAGCUGCUUGCACUUUUUUGGUAAUUUAAUUAAAAGUGCAAUGCAUUAAGAAAAUGUUUAGAAAAUAUACUGUUGUGUUGGUCUGUUGUGAUUUACUGAAAAUGAUUAAAAAAAAAUGGUUUUAUUUAGAAAAAACACCAAAAAUAAGGCCUGAUGCAUUAAGAUAUAAACAUUUAUAAGAUUGUAUAUACAAAACCGUAUGUAGUUAUGCGUACACCAUUUUAUAAUCUGUUUAUAGGAUUACCACAUCAUACAAAAAAAAAAUCCUUUGUGAGGUUUUGGACAAAUGGCACCAAAACUUAUUCAAAAGAACAGUGUGUCUAUUGUGAAAGAGGUCCACCAUGCACGAAAAAUUACUCUUUUUUGUGUCUAUAGAUCACAUUCUGCACAUAUAGUGCCCUCCAAAAUUAUUGGCACCUUUUAUUUAAAUUUUUUUGUCUGACACAAGGAACACUGUGUUCGUUCUCAGAAAUAUACAUAGCAAAAACGUAUUGAUACCUCUAUUGAAUAUGUGUAUGUAUGCAAAUAAUAUUGUUAUAGAUGGAAAAUGUUUCAAAAUAUAUGAGGUUGCAUGCUGGUCAAAUUUAUUUUUUUUAACAGACCGAGGAUCAUUGCAGUGUAUAACCAUAUUCUAGAUUUAAAAAAAUACAUAAGCAAUUUUUAAAAAGGCUGGAAAAAUUGAAGCCCAUUAACAGAGUACCUGUCCACACUGAGGAGGAGGAAGUUUUCCAAUUUCACAAUUUUGUUGUUUUUGUGAUGUCACGUACCCUGUGUUAAAUGUCACUUUCAUAACAACAAGCUAUUUGGAAUCACUGGAUUAAAGCUUUUAUUCCCCUAAGAGCAUCUCAAACAAUGUAUCUCAAAUUCUUUAACAUUAGAACCCAUCAUAUGCUGAGGGCAGAUGGAGGCCUUCCUCUGUGUAGUUAAUGUUAAUGCCGCUGUUGCUCAUGAUGCUGCUGACCAGUAUGGGACCCAAAGAGUCAUAUUUGUUAGACACUCAGCUUGAAGGUCAGGUUUCACAAUAAAAAUAAUUUUCAGCUCCAAUUAUGAAUGCCUUUGCCUGGAGCUUCAGACUUGGCUUGAGAGCUUUCAGCAAAAUGACUAGCCAUUCAGAUUACAUCAUAUUUCCAAAUCGAUAAAACUACAUAAUGAAACACAUUAGUGUUUUAUACACUUUGACCACCAUGCUUGAACAGUAGUCAGAAAUUGAACAGGAACACUUAUGUGCACAAUAUUAAGAAGCAGCUUCUUCAAGGAGGAGAAAAUGUAGCAGGAAGAGACUCUGGCUGGGGCAGGUGUAAAAAAGAAUUCACUUGAAGCAAGUGUUAUUGCAUGAUUAUUUAACUGUCCAAAUAUUAAAACUUUUUCAUGAAGAUUGGCAAUAAUAAUAGAGAGCAUUGUAAAAAAAAAUUAAGGCUAAUUGUACAUGCUAAGACUAAAUGUGCUGCAGUAUCUCCUGGUUGUUAUUGAAAACAUUUCCUAAGAUGCACUGAUCAUGUUCAACUUCAGCUACAUGAUUUAAAUGUUCAUGGACUUUAUAGUUAAUUGACAAUUUGCAUAUAAAAUACAUGGAUUAAUGUGUUCAGCUAAAACAAUAAAGCCAUUGUUUUAUGUACUA